UGUAACUUCGGGAUAAAGCUUGGCUCUGAUGAAAAUCAGAACCGAUUGUUACGCGGAGAGCCCAACUGUUUAAUAAAAACUUAGUGUCGCGCUGUGGUAGUAUAGCCAGUGAACGCGACAUGAAUCCUGCUCAGUGCUGUGUCUGUUAAUAUGGUUCAAGCCAACGAAGCACCGGUAAAUAGCUGGGGUAACUAUGACUCUUAUCAAAGUAGCGAAAUACCUCGUCACUUAAUUAGUGACCUGCAUGAACGGAGCUAUGAGGUUCUCACUGUCCCAAACUGUCUCUCAGCGAACCAACUGUAGUGGGAACGGUCACUAGAUAUCCAGCGGGGAAAGAAGACCCUGUAGAGCUUCACUUUGGUCUAGUCUUGUAUAGUUCCUGCGGGGGUGUAGACUAGGUGGGAGAGCAAUCGAUUCUGAAAAACCACUACCCUGUUUGGAAUUAUGCUUACCUAUCACAAGGAAUAGGACUAGAUAGAAAGUUUGGCUGGGGCGGCACACCUUCGAAAGAGCAGCGAAGGUGUCCUAAGUUGAGCUCAGUGAGGACAGAAAUCUCACGUUGAGGAUAAGGCCAAAAGCUCAAUUUACUGUGCCUUUUUGUACUAGGAUCAGUUACGAAAGUAAGGCCUAACGAUCCCUAAAUAGCCUCAGGUGCGUGAGGAUUGGGGUGACAGACAAGUUACCUCCGGGACAACUGGCUUGUGGCUGCUAAGAGAUCAAAUCAACGCAGCUUUUUGAUUCUUCGAUGUCGGCUCUUCCUAUCCUAGUGAUGUACAAGUUGCUAAGGGUCGGAUUGUUCACCCGUAUUAGGGAUCGUGAGCUGGGUUUAGACCGUCGUGAGCCAGGUUUGUUU
RNAcentral lists this non-coding RNA (853 nucleotides) under Trichomonas vaginalis G3. RNAcentral describes it as "Eukaryotic large subunit ribosomal RNA". It matches the Rfam family "Eukaryotic large subunit ribosomal RNA", at positions 1929 to 2989 of the family's 3401-position model. Lineage: Eukaryota; Parabasalia; Trichomonadida; Trichomonadidae. The record is from Rfam by way of RNAcentral.